RNAcentral lists this transfer RNA (65 nucleotides) under Aposthonia japonica. Its description in RNAcentral is "tRNA-Asn". Lineage: Eukaryota; Metazoa; Arthropoda; Insecta; Embioptera; Oligotomidae. The record is from RNAcentral.
UCAAUGGAAACCAAAAAGAGGUCUAUUAUUGUUAAUAAUAAAAAUGAAAUUAAACUCCUAUUGAA